CCUGGCUCAGGACGAACGCUGGCGGCGCGCCUAACACAUGCAAGUCGAACGAGAGAUGAGGAGCUUGCUCUUCAAAUCGAGUGGCGAACGGGUGAGUAACGCGUGAGGAACCUGCCUCAAAGAGGGGGACAACAGUUGGAAACGACUGCUAAUACCGCAUAAGCCCACGGCUCGGCAUCGAGCAGAGGGAAAAGGAGCAAUCCGCUUUGAGAUGGCCUCGCGUCCGAUUAGCUGGUUGGUGAGGUAACGGCCCACCAAGGCGACGAUCGGUAGCCGGACUGAGAGGUUGAACGGCCACAUUGGGACUGAGACACGGCCCAGACUCCUACGGGAGGCAGCAGUGGGGAAUAUUGCACAAUGGGGGAAACCCUGAUGCAGCGACGCCGCGUGGAGGAAGAAGGUCUUCGGAUUGUAAACUCCUGUUGUUGAGGAAGAUAAUGACGGUACUCAACAAGGAAGUGACGGCUAACUACGUGCCAGCAGCCGCGGUAAAACGUAGGUCACAAGCGUUGUCCGGAAUUACUGGGUGUAAAGGGAGCGCAGGCGGGAGAACAAGUUGGAAGUGAAAUCCAUGGGCUCAACCCAUGAACUGCUUUCAAAACUGUUUUUCUUGAGUAGUGCAGAGGUAGGCGGAAUUCCCGGUGUAGCGGUGGAAUGCGUAGAUAUCGGGAGGAACACCAGUGGCGAAGGCGGCCUACUGGGCACCAACUGACGCUGAGGCUCGAAAGUGUGGGUAGCAAACAGGAUUAGAUACCCUGGUAGUCCACACCGUAAACGAUGAUUACUAGGUGUUGGAGGAUUGACCCCUUCAGUGCCGCAGUUAACACAAUAAGUAAUCCACCUGGGGAGUACGACCGCAAGGUUGAAACUCAAAGGAAUUGACGGGGGCCCGCACAAGCAGUGGAGUAUGUGGUUUAAUUCGACGCAACGCGAAGAACCUUACCAAGUCUUGACAUCCCUUGACGAACAUAGAAAUAUGUUUUCUCUUCGGAGCAAGGAGACAGGUGGUGCAUGGUUGUCGUCAGCUCGUGUCGUGAGAUGUUGGGUUAAGUCCCGCAACGAGCGCAACCCUUAUGGUCAGUUACUACGCAAGAGGACUCUGGCCAGACUGCCGUUGACAAAACGGAGGAAGGUGGGGAUGACGUCAAAUCAUCAUGCCCUUUAUGACUUGGGCUACACACGUACUACAAUGGCGUUAAACAAAGAGAAGCAAGACCGCGAGGUGGAGCAAAACUCAGAAACAACGUCCCAGUUCGGACUGCAGGCUGCAACUCGCCUGCACGAAGUCGGAAUUGCUAGUAAUCGUGGAUCAGCAUGCCACGGUGAAUACGUUCCCGGGCCUUGCACACACCGCCC
Molecule: ribosomal RNA, 1356 nt
Filed under: uncultured bacterium
Lineage: Bacteria
Description: bacterial SSU rRNA
Rfam family: Bacterial small subunit ribosomal RNA
Source: RNAcentral